Molecule: ribosomal RNA, 465 nt
Filed under: uncultured Klebsiella sp.
Lineage: Bacteria; Pseudomonadati; Pseudomonadota; Gammaproteobacteria; Enterobacterales; Enterobacteriaceae
Description: bacterial SSU rRNA
Rfam family: Bacterial small subunit ribosomal RNA
Source: RNAcentral
CCUACGGGGGGCUGCAGUGGGGAAUAUUGCACAAUGGGCGCAAGCCUGAUGCAGCCAUGCCGCGUGUGUGAAGAGGGCCUUCGGGUUGUAAAGCACUUUCAGCGGGGAGGAAGGCGUUAAGGUUAAUAACCUUGGCGAUUGACGUUACCCGCAGAAGAAGCACCGGCUAACUCCGUGCCAGCAGCCGCGGUAAUACGGAGGGUGCAAGCGUUAAUCGGAAUUACUGGGCGUAAAGCGCACGCAGGCGGUCUGUCAAGUCGGAUGGGAAAUCCCCGGGCUCAACCUGGGAACUGCAUUCGAAACUGGCAGGCUAGAGUCUUGUAGAGGGGGGUAGAAUUCCAGGUGUAGCGGUGAAAUGCGUAGAGAUCUGGAGGAAUACCGGUGGCGAAGGCGGCCCCCUGGACAAAGACUGACGCUCAGGUGCGGAAGCGUGGGGAGCAAACAGGAUUAGAUACCCGUGUAGUC